GUCUCCAUGGUCUAGUUGGUGUUAUGACGGCGGUCUCAUAUUCCUGACAGCCUUCCCAAAGGUUGGAUAUCCGCAGGUCACGAGUUCGAUCCUCGUUGGAGGCA
This is a non-coding RNA of Aspergillus steynii IBT 23096, 104 nucleotides long. Lineage: Eukaryota; Fungi; Ascomycota; Eurotiomycetes; Eurotiales; Aspergillaceae. The record is from the annotation of a RefSeq genome assembly.